UGGGGAAUUUUGGACAAUGGGCGCAAGCCUGAUCCAGCCAUGCCGCGUGAGUGAAGAAGGCCUUCGGGUUGUAAAGCUCUUUCGGCCGGGAAAAAAUCGCUUGGGUUAAUACCCUGAGUGGAUGAUGGUACCGGAAUAAGAAGCACCGGCUAACUACGUGCCAGCAGCCGCGGUAAUACGUAGGGUGCGAGCGUUAAUCGGAAUUACUGGGCGUAAAGCGUGCGCAGGCGGUUUUGUAAGACAGGCGUGAAAUCCCCGGGCUCAACCUGGGAACUGCGUUUGUGACUGCAAGGCUAGAGUAUGGCAGAGGGGGGUGGAAUUCCACGUGUAGCAGUGAAAUGCGUGGAGAUGUGGAGGAACACCAAUGGCGAAGGCAGCCCCCUGGGCCAAUACUGACGCUCAUGCACGAAAGCGUGGGGAGCAAACAGG
This 429-nucleotide ribosomal RNA is filed under the name uncultured bacterium. RNAcentral describes it as "bacterial SSU rRNA". It matches the Rfam family "Bacterial small subunit ribosomal RNA", at positions 355 to 776 of the family's 1533-position model. The record is from RNAcentral.